Molecule: ribosomal RNA, 455 nt
Filed under: uncultured fungus
Lineage: Eukaryota; Fungi
Description: partial 18S ribosomal RNA
Source: RNAcentral
UGGUGCUUUUACGUGCAGACCAAGUCCAUGUUAAGUUGUUUUUUUUAACUAUUUACUGAAUUCUAGGUUUUUGAGGGUACUCCGAACCGGAGGGAUCGAUCAAACCCAAUAGUCUACCCCGACCGUUGAGUCUCUCGCCAAUUUUCACGGAGAAGCAAUCACUUACCCCAGAGAAACCCUAAGUACGCGCUUUAACAUAAUUAAUGAUCCUCUUCCGUAGGUGAACCUGCGGAAGGAUCAUUAAUUAUGUUAAAGCGCCUUACCUUAGGGUUUCCUCUGGGGUAAGUGAUUGCUUCUACACUGUGAAAAUUUGGCUGAGAGACUCAGACUGGUCAUGGGUAGACCUAUCUGGGGUUUGAUCGAUGCCACUCCUGGUUUCAGGAGUACCCUUCAUAAUAAACCUAGAAAUUCAGUAUUAUAAAGUUUAAUAAAAAACAACUUAACAAUGAUCCUGU